Molecule: transfer RNA, 73 nt
Filed under: Nonomuraea angiospora
Lineage: Bacteria; Bacillati; Actinomycetota; Actinomycetes; Streptosporangiales; Streptosporangiaceae
Also listed under: 7 other names
Description: tRNA-Leu
Rfam family: tRNA
About the family: Transfer RNA (tRNA) molecules are approximately 80 nucleotides in length. Their secondary structure includes four short double-helical elements and three loops (D, anti-codon, and T loops). Further hydrogen bonds mediate the characteristic L-shaped molecular structure. tRNAs have two regions of fundamental functional importance: the anti-codon, which is responsible for specific mRNA codon recognition, and the 3' end, to which the tRNAs corresponding amino acid is attached (by aminoacyl-tRNA synthetases). tRNAs cope with the degeneracy of the genetic code in two manners: having more than one tRNA (with a specific anti-codon) for a particular amino acid; and 'wobble' base-pairing, i.e. permitting non-standard base-pairing at the 3rd anti-codon position.
Source: RNAcentral
GCCCCGGUAUUCCAACGGCAGAGAAGAUGGCCUCAAAAUCCAUUCAGUGUGGGUUCGAAUCCCACCCGGGGCA